Molecule: ribosomal RNA, 479 nt
Filed under: uncultured organism
Description: partial 16S ribosomal RNA
Rfam family: Bacterial small subunit ribosomal RNA
Source: RNAcentral
GUACACUCCUACGGGAGGCAGCAGUGGGGAAUUUUGGACAAUGGGCGAAAGCCUGAUCCAGCAAUGCCGCGUGAGUGAAGAAGGCCUUCGGGUUGUAAAGCUCUUUUGUCAGGGAAGAAACGGUGAAAGCUAAUAUCUUUUGCUAAUGACGGUACCUGAAGAAUAAGCACCGGCUAACUACGUGCCAGCAGCCGCGGUAAUACGUAGGGUGCAAGCGUUAAUCGGAAUUACUGGGCGUAAAGCGUGCGCAGGCGGUUUUGUAAGUCUGAUGUGAAAUCCCCGGGCUCAACCUGGGAAUUGCAUUGGAGACUGCAAGGCUAGAAUCUGGCAGAGGGGGGUAGAAUUCCACGUGUAGCAGUGAAAUGCGUAGAUAUGUGGAGGAACACCGAUGGCGAAGGCAGCCCCCUGGGUCAAGAUUGACGCUCAUGCACGAAAGCGUGGGAAGCAAACAGGAUUAGAAACCCCUGUAGUCCCAUGAU